UUAUAGAACGACCUGUAAUAUUAAACAAUUCUCAAAUGUUAGAAGCGUUUAUGCAAGGAAGGCUAUGUUUAAGUUGUGAUUCGUUAGAUCAUCCAAUGCCUUUAUGUCCUAACAAUUCUUUUGUUUGUCCUAACUGUCAUAAUAUAUCACAUAGAGGAAAUGAUUGUCCAAUGAGUUGUCGUUUUUGUUUAAAACAUCAUGUGGGCGUAUCUAUUAUGGAUUGUUUGAAAAGAGCUAGGAUACAAAAUGAAAAAAUUCUUAUUAAUAAUAAUGAUAAAAAUGAUAUGAACAAAUUAAAUAAAAAUAAUAAAAAUAAUACAGAUAAGGGUAAUAUAGGACCUAGAUUCGACAUAAGUACAAGACCUGAUAAUUCAUACGGAAGAAGUGUUUAUGUAUCUAAUUUAAAUCAUGAUAUAACGAACAAUCAAUUGAGAGAUGCAAUUAAUCAAAGCUUAGAUAAUGGAUUUGUUGUUCAUAUUGAUAGACAAGAUGGAUAUGCAUUUGUUGAGUUGUCAAAUUUAAAUUCAACAUUUCAGUUAGUUCAAAAGUCUAUUAAUAUUAAUUAUAAAAAAUUAAAAAUACAAUUUAAAAAAACAGGUCAAUUUUUAGUACCAGAUAAUUUAUCUAUUAGUUACAAUAUGUCAUCAGAUUUUCCCAAAAAUACAACUGUUUCAACUGCUGCUUCUGCUAUCACACUUGGUAACACUUCUAAUAAAGUAACACAUUUAAAUAAAAAAUUAAACCGAACUAUGUUAAACAUGUCAAACAAAAAAAAUACAAACAAUUGUUUAAACAAUGUUUUAGUUAGUGAUGUUACUACUCCUCCUCCUCUAUCAGUGGGUAAUUUUAAUAAAGCGUUAAAAAAUAAUACUAUUACCAGAAUGAAUAGUGCUAAUAAUAGCAACAGUAAUGCUAUUAAUAGUAACAACAAAACCAAUACUGCUACAACAAAUACAAGUGUAAGUGCUAGCAAUAAUAGUAAUAUAUCAGGUUUUGAAUCAGCAGAAAUAAACAAAAAUAUGAAUAUAUAUAAAAAUACGUACACAAAACAGCCAAAAAUGAUGCACUAUUUUAAUCAAACACAACAACUCUCUACGCAACAAAAAAAACAUAAACAUAUUGAGAAUCUUAAAACCAACACAAGUAACAUUGUUCAUUCUGGUCCUUCCACGGAUAAAGAUUUUAAUAUGAAGACGUUUAUAAAUACGAAGCAGAAUAAAAUACAAAAUGAUAAAAAUGAUAGUAAAUGUAAUUUUAUGUAUAAUGUUGAUAAUGAUAGUGUUAUGUUAGUUGGAGAACAGGGUAAAAAGGGUAAAACUUGGAACGUUAGUGGGUACACGAAUGGACACACGAAUGGACACACGAAUGGACACACGAAUGGACACAUGAAUGGACACACGAAUGGACACACGAAUGGACACAUGACUGACCACGUUAAUAGCUACGCGAAUAACGGAAAUAACAAUAACAACCAUGAAAAUAGCAACUACAAUACCAGAUACGAUAACAGUAUGAACUCCCUAGUUAAGAAUACAACAAACGGUAAUUACCAUUUAAUAAAAAAUGAUGACUCAUGUAAUGACACGAUAAAAAAUGAAUUUGAUUAUAAAUAUGUGGAUGACAAAGGAUCAGAUAACUGUCUAAAAAACAAUUUAGAUGAUGGUAUUAGUAACCGUACCAGUACCAAUAACAUUUGUAACAGUUUAUCCUCUAUGUAUUCACCUAACAACUCAUUUGAAAACAUACAUGAUAAGAAUAUAAAAUGGUAUGAUGAAAAUAAUAUGUUUAUAUACAACACAAAUGAAAUAUAUGAAUAUAAUGAUGUUAAUAAGAAUACAAAUAAUGAAACUAUUAAAAUGAUUGGUAUGAAUACUACACCUUCUGACGGUAUGUUAUACACCCACCUGUUUAACAAACUAGAUGACGAAAAGGAUUAUAUUCAUAAUUUUAACGACGAUAUGAAUGAGAAAAGACUAGACACAUGUAUAUUAAAUAAUGAUAUAUGUUCUAAUAGUACACUUCAAAACAACUUUCACAACAGUAAUGAGGUACAUUACAAUACUGACAUACAACACAAUAAUAACGAUACUAAUCUGAUGAAUGGUUUAAAUACAAGUAGUAUGUACAAAAAAUUGAAUAUGCACAAAAACGUAGCAAAAAAAUACUAUAAUGAUAAAGAAACAGAGGUAAGAACAGGAACAACUGGAACUGUAACCGGAAUAGGAACCGGAAUUGGAAUAGAAAAUGGUACAUGUAUUGAUAUAAAAUCCAUAAUUAAUAAUGCUAUUGAAACAAAUAAUAACAUUAUGACUUAUGACACACAUAAUAAUUAUAUUAAUAUACCUGAUAGUAGUAGUUUUAAUAAAAUCAAUGGUGGUGGAUAUUAUGACACAUAUGAUGUUAAUGUUAACAAUUGUAGUAGUGAUAAUUAUGUAAAUACAGAAACAUAUAUGGACAUAGAAAAUUACAACAACGUGAACAGAUACAGUAACAAAAAUAAUAGUAACAAUCGUUAUAGCGAUAAUAACAUCUCUAAUGAAUAUAAUUAUAAUAAAUAUAUGAAUGAAAAUAUUAAUAACAGCUCAGAACAAGAACAACAAAAAAAACAGCAAAAAGAACAACGAAAAGAACAGCAAAAAGAACAACAAAAAGAACAACAAAAGGAACAACAAAAGGAACAAGAAACAAAUUUAAAACUAACGAUAUUUUCACCUUGUAACUACGAGGAAAAUACUAAGAAUACAUCUAUGGAUAAAAUAAAUCAUAAGAACAAUGGAUUAGACAGGAAUAAUAUAGGUAUUAUUAGUAAUAGUGAAUAUAACACUGUACUAAUGAAUGAUAAUAAUAAAUAUUCAUAUAAUAAUAUAUGUAAUGAUAUGUUUUAUGGUAAUGAUGAUAUUUAUAACAUAUUUUCAAGAUUUGACUCAAUGAAAAUAUAUGAAGGUAAUAACAAUAGCAGCUUUAACAAUGACAGUUACAACAAUAACAGCAGUAACAACAACAAUAACAACAACAACAGUAAUAACUGUAAUCGUAAAAGUAGCAACGGAUAUAACUGUUAUGACCAAAAUGUACAUAAUAAUAGUAGCAAUAUAUUAAAUAAUAAAUUUUGUGAUGACCAACAAAUGAAUGAAAAACAUGGGUUAUCAUCAUCUAAUGGGUUCAUAGACGAAGACAUUAGGAUGAAUAUAUUAGAAGCAGCUGCACCGAAUAAUAGUUCUAUCGAUACUGUUACUGCUGAAACGAGCGUUAAUACUACCUUUAAUACUACUACAAAUAGUACCAUCAACAGCACUAUUAAUAGUAAUAGCAGCAGUAGCAGUAGUAGCAAUAGCAGUAACAAGGACGUGAUUAAUAAAUCUAAAAAAAUUAUAAAUAACACAAAUGAGGAUGUACAAAAUUUAAAUAAUAAUUUUGCAAAAAAUAAUAAAUUUAAUGAACUGGAUGCAAUUGAAAAAGAUUUAGAAUUACAUAUCAAGGCAUUAUGGAAUAUAAGAAAAAUAAAGUUAGUUGAAUCAUAU
Piliocolobus tephrosceles (Ugandan red Colobus) is the source of this 3521-nucleotide long non-coding RNA. NCBI's taxonomy places the organism in Eukaryota, Metazoa, Chordata, Mammalia, Primates, Cercopithecidae. The record is from Ensembl.